CUGAAAUAUAUCUGUAAUUAUUCUGGUACACUCAGAUGUUUAUAUUUUAAGAAUCUAUAUCUACAAUGUAGUUAAAGAGGUGUUUUAUAAUUAAGUAAUUAAAUAUAAGCAUAUUCCAUUUAUGUAACAGAUAAAGUGGGUCUUUGAUUCACUUGGCUGCGACACUCAUUUCAUCUAUUUAUGCAAUUGCACGUUCAUAUGUACGAAAGCCAGCUCAGAUUUUUCUUCCUCCAAAGUCCUCCUUCAAGGACUUCUCAGAGCCUUAAGUAUAUGCUAACAUAAAAUAUAAAUCUCCAAAUGAAAAAUAUUACUGGCACUAUUCCCAAAUUUAUUUUUCCUCAAUGCAACUUUAUUCUAGGAGCAUCUGAAAAAAAUGUACUUCUAUUUGGCAAACUUUUAAAAUGCUGCUCUUUUACAUGAUUACUUUUUGUUGUUGUUAGUUUCCGAUACACCAAGGCCUAGCUUCUCUUUUCAGACAGACCCUUUUAUCAUGGAGAGAAAAGCAACGGCCCAUAAAAAGAGUGUUUUGAAAGCUAGCACUAUGACAUUACCAAGUUUUUCCAUCAUUAUUUUUUCUUUCACCACGUGACCUUAUGUUGUUCGGUAACUAAGAAGGUCUUCUAAUGUUUAAAAUUAUACUGAUGCAUAUGUGUGUGUGUGUGU
This 663-nucleotide long non-coding RNA is filed under the name Pan troglodytes (chimpanzee). RNAcentral describes it as "long non-coding RNA NONPTRT012608". Lineage: Eukaryota; Metazoa; Chordata; Mammalia; Primates; Hominidae. The record is from RNAcentral.